CACGUAGGCACCAAGCGUUGUCCGGAUUUAUUGGGCGUAAAGAGCUCGUAGGCGGUUCGGUAAGUCGGGUGUGAAAACUCUGGGCUCAACCCAGAGCCGCCACCCGAUACUGCUGUGACUCGAGUGCGGUAGGGGAGUGGGGAAUUCCUGGUGUAGCAGUGAAAUGCGUAGAUAUCAGGAGGAAUACCGAUGGCGAAGGCAGGUCUCUGGGCUAUAACUGACGCUCAUGCACGAAAGCGUGGGGAGCAAACAGG
This 254-nucleotide ribosomal RNA is filed under the name uncultured bacterium. RNAcentral's name for it is "partial 16S ribosomal RNA". It matches the Rfam family "Bacterial small subunit ribosomal RNA", at positions 524 to 776 of the family's 1533-position model. The record is from RNAcentral.